UGCGUCGAGCGAUGAAGCACCUUCGGGUGUGAAUUAGCGGCGAACGGGUGAGGAACACGUGAAGAAUCUGCCUUCAACUCUGGGAUAACUCCGGGAAACCGGGGCUAAUACCGGAUAUGAGCCUUGAUCGCAUGAUCGGGGCUGGAAAGUUUUUCGGUUGAAGAUGACUUCGCGGCCUAUCAGCUUGUUGGUGAGGUAAUGGCUCACCAAGGCGACGACGGGUAGCCGGCCUGAGAGGGCGACCGGCCACACUGGGACUGAGACACGGCCCAGACUCCUACGGGAGGCAGCAGUGGGGAAUAUUGGGCAAUGGAGGAAACUCUGACCCAGCGACGCCGCGUGAGGGAUGAAGGCCUUCGGGUUGUAAACCUCUUUCAGUAGGGAAGAAGCGAAAGUGACGGUACCUACAGAAGAAGCACCGGCUAACUAUGUGCCAGCAGCCGCGGUAAUACAUAGGGUGCAAGCGUUGUCCGGAAUUAUUGGGCGUAAAGAGCUCGUAGGUGGUCCGAUACGUCGGAUGUGAAAAUCAGGGGCUCAACCCCUGACCUGCAUCCGAUAUGGUCGAGCUAGAGUUUGGUAGGGGAGACUGGAAUUCCUGGUGUAGCGGUGGAAUGCGCAGAUAUCAGGAGGAACACCGAUGGCGAAGGCAGGUCUCUGGGCCAAUACUGACACUGAGGAGCGAAAGCGUGGGG
RNAcentral lists this ribosomal RNA (692 nucleotides) under uncultured Actinomycetes bacterium. RNAcentral describes it as "bacterial SSU rRNA". It matches the Rfam family "Bacterial small subunit ribosomal RNA", at positions 56 to 766 of the family's 1533-position model. Lineage: Bacteria; Bacillati; Actinomycetota; Actinomycetes. The record is from RNAcentral.